UACGUGGGGGGCCAGCGUUGUCCGGAUUCAUUGGGCGUAAAGCGCGUGUAGGCGGCCAGGUAGGUCCGAUGUGAAAUCUGGAGGCUCAACCUCCAGCGGUCAUUGGAAACCAUCUGGCUAGAGUCCGGAAGAGGAGAGUGGAAUUCCUGGUGUAGCGGUGAAAUGCGCAGAUAUCAGGAAGAACACCAAUGGCGAAGGCAGCUCUCUGGGGCGGUACUGACGCUGAGACGCGAAAGCGUGGGGAGCGAACAGG
RNAcentral lists this ribosomal RNA (253 nucleotides) under uncultured bacterium. Its description in RNAcentral is "partial 16S ribosomal RNA". It matches the Rfam family "Bacterial small subunit ribosomal RNA", at positions 524 to 776 of the family's 1533-position model. The record is from RNAcentral.